CAGUCGCCGCGGUAAUACGUAGGUGGCAAGCGUUGUCCGGAAUUAUUGGGCGUAAAGCGCGCGCAGGUGGUUUAAUAAGUCUGAUGUGAAAGCCCACGGCUCAACCGUGGAGGGUCAUUGGAAACUGUUAAACUUGAGUGCAGGAGAGAAAAGUGGAAUUCCUAGUGUAGCGGUGAAAUGCGUAGAGAUUAGGAGGAACACCAGUGGCGAAGGCGGCUUUUUGGCCUGUAACUGACACUGAGGCUCGAAAGCGUGGGGAGCAAACAGGAUUAGAUACCCCCGUAGUCCCUGUCUCUUAUAC
Molecule: ribosomal RNA, 301 nt
Filed under: uncultured bacterium
Lineage: Bacteria
Description: partial 16S ribosomal RNA
Rfam family: Bacterial small subunit ribosomal RNA
Source: RNAcentral